ACGGGUGAGUAACGCGUGGGAACGUACCUUUCGGUUCGGAACAACCCAGGGAAACUUGGGCUAAUACCGGAUACGCCCUUCGGGGGAAAGAUUUAUCGCCGAAAGAUCGGCCCGCGUCUGAUUAGCUUGUUGGUGAGGUAACGGCUCACCAAGGC
This 155-nucleotide ribosomal RNA is filed under the name Rhodobiaceae bacterium. RNAcentral describes it as "partial 16S ribosomal RNA". It matches the Rfam family "Bacterial small subunit ribosomal RNA", at positions 102 to 274 of the family's 1533-position model. The record is from RNAcentral. Lineage: Bacteria; Pseudomonadati; Pseudomonadota; Alphaproteobacteria; Hyphomicrobiales; Rhodobiaceae.